GCUCACGGCCAUACCAGCCUGGGUACGCCCGAUCUCGUCUGAUCUCGGAAGCUAAGCAGGGUCGGGCCUGGUUAGUACUUGGAUGGGAGACCGCCUGGGAAAACCAAGUGCUGUAAGCA
This 119-nucleotide ribosomal RNA is filed under the name Salmo salar (Atlantic salmon). The record is from RNAcentral. Lineage: Eukaryota; Metazoa; Chordata; Actinopteri; Salmoniformes; Salmonidae.